CUGCCCCUGCCCCUGCCCCUGCCCCUGCCUCGACCCCCUGCUGGGCUUUCUGCUCCGGCUCCGAAAUCUGCCUCUGCGCUGGGGUCCCGCAGGGCUCAGAACCGGGGAGAUAGGGCCCUUCUCCAGCCUCGGGGGGGGCGCGACGCUGGGGGGAUGAGGUGGAGCCUUCCGCCCCCGCCCCUAACCGGAGUGUCCCUUCCCCAGGAAUCCUAUUCCUGUUUGCUUUCGGGGUCAGCGCUAGCCCAGAGGCAGUUAAAGAUUAAUGGGCCGCGGCCCUGGGGGCUGGGGCGGGGGCGCUGGGGAUGGAGCUCAGCACAAGUGGUACAAGUGGUACUGGCUGGCUUUUAGUCUCUCUCUCUCUCUCUCUCUCUCUCUCUCUCUCUCUCUCGGUUGGGCACAUGGUCUUGUUCCAACCGCGACGUUGAACAGAGGGUUUGGGAGGGCCGCAGGGCCUGUCCACCUGCCCGCCAGGAGGAGACUGGGGAGCUCUGUUGCCCACCGCUGCCCUUACUCUGCCUUCUGCCUCAGCCCUGCAGACUCCCAGGGCAAGUGUAGAAAGAGGAGGGGACUCUCGCCCUCCCAGCCCCUCCCAUAGUGGUGUAAGAAGCCCCUGAGAGUGGCCAUGCCCGUGAGGGGCCCGGAAAAGCCAGGCUAGCUCCCGGGCCUGGGGCAUGCGGCUGAUCUGGGCCUCUGGCAUGAGCCUUGCCAGGCCCGUCCCACUCUGCUCCCCUGUGCCGGGGGCGUGGGGUGAGUGUGGAGGGGCUGCUGUCUUUGCAUUCGCCCUUCUCUGUCAGGAAGGAGAGUGGGGAGGUCUCCGCUCUCCCCACCCCCCACCCCAGGCCCAGAGGCCUCUCCAGGGCCCCGAUCCAUCCCUCAGGAGGCAGGGGCUCUCCCUGUCGCCUCCAGGACUUUCCCGAAGCCUCUGGCUCUGCGCAUCUAUGUAUCCACGCUGCCGUUGCGCCAGGAAGAUCUCUCCCGGGGCCCUCAGGCAGUGCCCAGCCUGCAAUGAGGACUUCGUGGAUCUUAGCGUGUGCCCCGGGUUCCGGGGCCCGAACAGCCACUGCUCUGGCGACAGUGUUGAUGAGGGGGCGGUUCUGUUACUCAAAUGCACCUGAAAGGAGUGCUCACAGCCUCUGGACACCUGUCCUUACCCCUGAGGGCCGAUGGCCUUGAUGCUCUCCAGGAGGCCCUUGAAGGGGAAACCAGGGUAGUUACAAAAUCCUGUCUCAAAUACGCACACCAGGAGUUUGCUGUCAUUAACUCAUUUUUAAAUUUUUUAAAAAAGAUUGUA
RNA transcript from Lutra lutra (Eurasian river otter), 1291 nucleotides. RefSeq lists it as uncharacterized. Lineage: Eukaryota; Metazoa; Chordata; Mammalia; Carnivora; Mustelidae. The transcript has 2 exons. The record is from RefSeq and is a predicted model, not a curated record.